This 253-nucleotide ribosomal RNA is filed under the name uncultured bacterium. Its description in RNAcentral is "partial 16S ribosomal RNA". It matches the Rfam family "Bacterial small subunit ribosomal RNA", at positions 524 to 776 of the family's 1533-position model. The record is from RNAcentral.
UACGAAGGGGGCUAGCGUUGCUCGGAAUCACUGGGCGUAAAGCGCACGUAGGCGGCUUUCUAAGUCAGGGGUGAAAUCCUGGAGCUCGACUCCAGAACUGCCUUUGAUACUGGGAAGCUUGAGUCCGGAAGAGGUGAGUGGAACUGCGAGUGUAGAGGUGAAAUUCGUAGAUAUUCGCAAGAACACCAGUGGCGAAGGCGGCUCACUGGCCCGAUACUGACGCUGAGGUGCGAAAGCGUGGGGAGCAAACAGG